GAUUUUUAACUGCAGAAAAACAUUUGAUCAUAAAAGCUGUUGUGUUAAACCAAUAUGGAUAUUUUAAAGGUAACUUGACUUCAAAAUUUGGAUCUAAGGAUAUGUUGCUUUGGAAAGGAGGCCCUGCAUUUGUUUCCACAAAAAACAAGAGGCUAUGGUUUUGUUCCAGAUUAAGAUACAACAGAUUUGGGCUGGAAAGAUGGCUCAGCAUUUAUCAGCACUGGUUACUCUUC
Peromyscus maniculatus bairdii (prairie deer mouse) is the source of this 233-nucleotide non-coding RNA. The record is from RefSeq and is a predicted model, not a curated record. NCBI's taxonomy places the organism in Eukaryota, Metazoa, Chordata, Mammalia, Rodentia, Cricetidae.